This 292-nucleotide non-coding RNA is filed under the name Terasakiispira papahanaumokuakeensis. Lineage: Bacteria; Pseudomonadati; Pseudomonadota; Gammaproteobacteria; Oceanospirillales. The record is from RNAcentral.
CUUAAAUCCAUACAGUUAGACCAAAGCGAUAAAACACCAUAGUUAAACGGGAAACUGGCAGGCCUAUGGCCCCUCCAGUGCUGCCCCCGCAACGGUAGGAUGAGGACACCACUAUCAGCCACUGCUGUCACACCAGUGCUUUCUGGCCGAAUCUGAUGUUUGAUUAAACCGGUUUUAAUUCAGCAUCCAGAUCACAAGAAAGAAAUACUGGCUUAUCGGUGGGAAGGCGUGGUGUAUUCGCGAGAAUUUCGCCCCAUCAAGCCCGGAGACCGGCCUGACGAUUCAUUAUUCA